Molecule: long non-coding RNA, 694 nt
Organism: Megalobrama amblycephala (Wuchang bream)
Lineage: Eukaryota; Metazoa; Chordata; Actinopteri; Cypriniformes; Xenocyprididae
Exons: 3
Source: RefSeq, a predicted model, not a curated record
UUUGGAGUGGAACGCAGCCCUGGUCUAUAUGAUUGUCCCACUUCAGGUCCUAAAAGAGAUGGUGCACUGUAAUGAAUUGCUGUAAAAAUUACAGCAAUAUUUUACAGCCGAUGGCUGUAUUUUAAUAAUACAGCAUAUUGCUGUAAACUGCUGUAAAUUUCAAAUAUACAGAGGCAUUGUGGGAUCUCCAACGGUCAAGAUUCGGGUAGCAGCAAGAGGAGUGAUUUACAACUGUGGCACUUUGUAGGUAUUUAUCCGGAGAGAGGAACAAAGACGAAAGGAAAAGUGCCAUCUAAAACAACAGGCCAGACAGUUCAGAAGAAACGGGAUGUGUUCAACCUACAUGCCACUCUUCUGUGGAAAGUGACGGAUUUUCAGUGGAAUUUCUGAAAUUAUUUCUAGCCUCUCUUUGAAUCCUGGGAUGGAACAUCAUCUGGAGCAGAAUUGUUCUUUUUUGAUCGCAAGUUUGUUGGACUUGUUGUUUGGCCAUGUUGGUAUGUUCAUGAAGUGAUAAAAAUGAUCCGGAUUUUAAGAAAUGUUUUUAUAUGACCCUGUUGGUCAAGUUAUAGUUAUAAUUGUAUUUCUUUGUGUGAAGGGCCAUGAUGGCCAAUAAGUAAUUUAAAAACAUUUUCAUGACAAAAUUUUGUCCAUUUAAAAAAUAAAAUGGUUUUCUAAAUAAAAAAUAAAUUCAAAA